RNAcentral lists this ribosomal RNA (496 nucleotides) under uncultured bacterium. RNAcentral's name for it is "partial 16S ribosomal RNA". It matches the Rfam family "Bacterial small subunit ribosomal RNA", at positions 28 to 506 of the family's 1533-position model. The record is from RNAcentral.
GACGAACGCUGGCGGCGUGCCUAAUACAUGCAAGUUGAGCGCUGAAGGUUGGUACUUGUACCGACUGGAUGAGCAGCGAACGGGUGAGUAACGCGUGGGGAAUCUGCCUUUGAGCGGGGGACAACAUUUGGAAACGAAUGCUAAUACCGCAUAAAAACUUUAAACACAAGUUUUAAGUUUGAAAGAUGCAAUUGCAUCACUCAAAGAUGAUCCCGCGUUGUAUUAGCUAGUUGGUGAGGUAAAGGCUCACCAAGGCGAUGAUACAUAGCCGACCUGAGAGGGUGAUCGGCCACAUUGGGACUGAGACACGGCCCAAACUCCUACGGGAGGCAGCAGUAGGGAAUCUUCGGCAAUGGACGAAAGUCUGACCGAGCAACGCCGCGUGAGUGAAGAAGGUUUUCGGAUCGUAAAACUCUGUUGGUAGAGAAGAACGUUGGUGAGAGUGGAAAGCUCAUCAAGUGGCGGUAACUACCCAGAAAGGGACGGCUAACUACGU